CAAGUCGAGCGGAAACGAUGGUAGCUUGCUACCAGGCGUCGAGCGGCGGACGGGUGAGUAACGCGUGAGAAUCUGCCCAUUUGUGGGGGAUAACUCGGGGAAACUCGAGUUAAUACCGCAUAAUCCCUACGGGGGAAAGCAGGGGACCUUCGGGCCUUGUGCAGAUGGAUGAGCUCGCGUCGGAUUAGCUUGUUGGUGAGGUAAAGGCUCACCAAGGCGACGAUCCGUAGCUGGUCUGAGAGGAUGAUCAGCCACACCGGGACUGAGACACGGCCCGGACUCUUACGGGAGGCAGCAGUGGGGAAUCUUGGACAAUGGGGGCAACCCUGAUCCAGCCAUGCCGCGUGUGUGAAGAAGGCCUUCGGGUUGUAAAGCACUUUCAGUAGGGAGGAAGGCUUGGCAUUAAUACCGC
This 412-nucleotide ribosomal RNA is filed under the name uncultured prokaryote. RNAcentral describes it as "bacterial SSU rRNA". It matches the Rfam family "Bacterial small subunit ribosomal RNA", at positions 58 to 468 of the family's 1533-position model. The record is from RNAcentral.